ACCGAGAUGGUGAAAUUGGUAGACACGCUAUCUUGAGGAGAUAGUGCCGAAUAGGCGUAUGGGUUCAAAUCCCAUUCUCGGUACUA
This 86-nucleotide transfer RNA is filed under the name Buchnera aphidicola (Macrosiphum gaurae). RNAcentral describes it as "tRNA-Leu". It matches the Rfam family "tRNA". From Rfam's summary of the family: Transfer RNA (tRNA) molecules are approximately 80 nucleotides in length. Their secondary structure includes four short double-helical elements and three loops (D, anti-codon, and T loops). The record is from RNAcentral. Lineage: Bacteria; Pseudomonadati; Pseudomonadota; Gammaproteobacteria; Enterobacterales; Erwiniaceae.